This 386-nucleotide long non-coding RNA is filed under the name Elaeis guineensis (African oil palm). Its description in RNAcentral is "long non-coding RNA (EGUI_LNC026434)". Lineage: Eukaryota; Viridiplantae; Streptophyta; Magnoliopsida; Arecales; Arecaceae. The record is from RNAcentral.
CACGAGAGCAGCGAACUGCUAGUGGUCUGCUGUCAUCAAUGGUCAUGAAGCGCUCAGCUCUCCAUAAGUCACUGGAGGCACGCCAUACUGCGAUGAGCAUUGAGUAGAGCUUGUGAAGGCAUUUUGUGCUCUCGUCUUGGCCAUGGAGGUUCUUGAGAAAAAAUUUUUUUCGCUCGAUUGCCCCCCUUCCUGACGUGCCAAACUGUUGCGUUCUUUCUCCGAUUUGGGAUAGUUGGUCUGAAGCCGACUUGGUGUUGCGUCUGGAUGCGGGCUGAUGGGAUGUCGAGAGAUGAUGUGCCAUCAUCGGAGAAGGUGCACACAGUUAAGGCUGAAGGCGAGAGCAAGGGGUUGCCGGUGGACGGUGGUGCUGGUCUCCUCUCAACGUC